Molecule: unclassified non-coding RNA, 376 nt
Filed under: Hevea brasiliensis (rubber tree)
Lineage: Eukaryota; Viridiplantae; Streptophyta; Magnoliopsida; Malpighiales; Euphorbiaceae
Source: RNAcentral
GGAGGUCCUGUUGAUAUACAUCGGGUUCUUGACAAUGGUCUCCUUGUUGAUCCCCAUGAUCAAAAUGCUAUUGCUGAUGCACUUUACAAGCUUGUAUCUGACAAGCAGCUUUGGGCACGUUGUCGUCAGAACGGAUUGAAAAAUAUUCACCUAUUCUCUUGGCCAGAGCAUUGUAAGACUUAUUUAUCUCGGAUAGCCAGUUGUAGACCAAGAUAUCCUCAAUGGCAGAGGAAUGACGAUGGAUACGAUAAUUCUGACACUGAGUCACCGGGUGACUCCUUGAGGGAUAUCCAAGAUAUAUCUUUGAACUUAAAGCUUUCUUUUGGCACUGAAAAGGCUGGAGGAAGUGGCAACCUGGAUAACGUCUUUGGUUCUG